GCCUGGAUAGCUCAGUUGGUUAGAGCAUGGUGCUGAUAAUUGCCAAGGUUGCAGGUUUGAUUCCCAUAUUCCUGCACUGGAGG
Molecule: non-coding RNA, 83 nt
Organism: Podarcis lilfordi (Lilford's wall lizard)
Lineage: Eukaryota; Metazoa; Chordata; Lepidosauria; Squamata; Lacertidae
Source: the annotation of a GenBank genome assembly